RNAcentral lists this ribosomal RNA (450 nucleotides) under uncultured bacterium. RNAcentral's name for it is "partial 16S ribosomal RNA". It matches the Rfam family "Bacterial small subunit ribosomal RNA", at positions 354 to 796 of the family's 1533-position model. The record is from RNAcentral.
GUGGGGAAUCUUCCGCAAUGGACGAAAGUCUGACGGAGCAACGCCGCGUGAGUGAUGACGGCCUUCGGGUUGUAAAGCUCUGUGAUCGGGGACGAAUGGCUGGUAUGCUAAUACCAUAUCAGAGUGACGGUACCCGAAUAGCAAGCCACGGCUAACUACGUGCCAGCAGUCGCGGUAAUACGUAGGUGGCAAGCGUUGUCCGGAAGUAUUGGGCGUAAAGCGCGCGCAGGCGGCUUCUUAAGUCCAUCUUAAAAGUGCGGGGCUUAACCCCGUGAUGGGAUGGAAACUGGGAGGCUGGAGUAUCGGAGAGGAAAGUGGAAUUCCUAGUGUAGCGGUGAAAUGCGUAGAGAUUAGGAAGAACACCGGUGGCGAAGGCGACUUUCUGGACGACAACUGACGCUGAGGCGCGAAAGCGUGGGGAGCAAACAGGAUUAGAAACCCCGGUAGUCC